This 292-nucleotide ribosomal RNA is filed under the name uncultured bacterium. RNAcentral describes it as "partial 16S ribosomal RNA". It matches the Rfam family "Bacterial small subunit ribosomal RNA", at positions 505 to 796 of the family's 1533-position model. The record is from RNAcentral.
GUGCCAGCCGCCGCGGUAAUACGGAGGGGGCCAGCGUUGUUCGGAAUUAUUGGGCGUAAAGGGCGCGUAGGCGGCUUGGUAAGUCAGUUGUGAAAUCCCUCGGCUCAACCGAGGAAUUGCGUCUGAGACUGCCAGGCUUGAGUCCCGGAGAGGGUAGCGGAAUUCCCAGUGUAGCGGUGAAAUGCGUAGAUAUUGGGAGGAACACCAGUGGCGAAGGCGGCUACCUGGACGGGCACUGACGCUGAGGCGCGAAAGCGUGGGGAGCAAACAGGAUUAGAUACCCUUGUAGUCC